UACGAAGGGGGCUAGCGUUGCUCGGAAUCACUGGGCGUAAAGCGCACGCAGGCGGCUUUUUAAGUCAGGGGUGAAAUCCUGGAGCUCAACUCCAGAACUGCCUUUGAUACUGAGAAGCUUGAGUCCGGGAGAGGUGAGUGGAACUGCGAGUGUAGAGGUGAAAUUCGUAGAUAUUCGCAAGAACACCAGUGGCGAAGGCGGCUCACUGGCCCGGUACUGACGCUGAGGUGCGAAAGCGUGGGGAGCAAACAGG
Molecule: ribosomal RNA, 253 nt
Filed under: uncultured bacterium
Lineage: Bacteria
Description: partial 16S ribosomal RNA
Rfam family: Bacterial small subunit ribosomal RNA
Source: RNAcentral